AUUGAACGCUGGCGGCAGGCCUAACACAUGCAAGUCGAGCGAGCGGCGGACGGGUGAGUAAUGUCUGGGAAACUGCCUGAUGGAGGGGGAUAACUACUGGAAACGGUAGCUAAUACCGCAUACCAUCAGAUGUGCCCAGAUGGGAUUAGCUAGUAGGUGGGGUAACGGCCCACCUAGGCGACGAUCCCUAGCUGGUCUGCGAGGAUGACCAGCCACACUGGAACGGGGACACGGCCACGCCUCCUACGGGAGGCGGCGGUGGGGAAUAGUGCACAAUGGGCGCGAGCCUGGUGCAGACAUGCCGCGUGUGUGAAGAAGGCCUUCGGGUUGGAAAGCACUUUCAGCGGGAAGGCGUUACCCGCAGAAGAAGCACCGGCUAACUCCGUGCCAGCAGCCGCGGUAAUUC
This 406-nucleotide ribosomal RNA is filed under the name uncultured bacterium. RNAcentral's name for it is "partial 16S ribosomal RNA". It matches the Rfam family "Bacterial small subunit ribosomal RNA", at positions 29 to 526 of the family's 1533-position model. The record is from RNAcentral.